UACGUAGGGUGCGAGCGUUGUCCGGAAUUAUUGGGCGUAAAGAGCUUGUAGGCGGUUUGUCGCGUCUGCUGUGAAAAUCCGGGGCUCAACCCCGGACUUGCAGUGGGUACGGGCAGACUAGAGUGUGGUAGGGGAGACUGGAAUUCCUGGUGUAGCGGUGAAAUGCGCAGAUAUCAGGAAGAACACCCGUGGCGAAAGCGGCUCUCUGGAACGGUACUGACGCUGAGACGCGAAAGCGUGGGGAGCGAACAGG
RNAcentral lists this ribosomal RNA (253 nucleotides) under uncultured bacterium. Its description in RNAcentral is "partial 16S ribosomal RNA". It matches the Rfam family "Bacterial small subunit ribosomal RNA", at positions 524 to 776 of the family's 1533-position model. The record is from RNAcentral.